UCGGGAAUUUUGGGCAAUGGGCGCAAGCCUGAUCCAGCCAUGCCGCGUGAGUGACGAAGGCCUUAGGGUUGUAAAACUCUUUCGUCGGGGACGAUAAUGACGGUACCCGAAGAAGAAGCUCCGGCUAACUUCGUGCCAGCAGCCGCGGUAAUACGAAGGGAGCUAGCGUUGUUCGGAAUCACUGGGCGUAAAGCGCACGUAGGCGGAUAGUUAAGUCAGGGGUGAAAUCCUGGGGCUCAACCCCAGAACUGCCUUUGAUACUGGCUGUCUCGAGGUCGAGAGAGGUUGGUGGAAUUCCUAGUGUAGAGGUGAAAUUCGUAGAUAUUAGGAAGAACACCAGUGGCGAAGGCGGCCAACUGGCUCGAUACUGACGCUGAGGUGCAAAAGCGUGGGGAGCAAACAGGAUUAGAUACCCCUGUAGUCCCUGAGCGGGCUGGCAAGGCGCAU
Molecule: ribosomal RNA, 447 nt
Filed under: uncultured bacterium
Lineage: Bacteria
Description: bacterial SSU rRNA
Rfam family: Bacterial small subunit ribosomal RNA
Source: RNAcentral